RNAcentral lists this ribosomal RNA (504 nucleotides) under uncultured bacterium. Its description in RNAcentral is "partial 16S ribosomal RNA". It matches the Rfam family "Bacterial small subunit ribosomal RNA", at positions 29 to 523 of the family's 1533-position model. The record is from RNAcentral.
AUUGAACGCUGGCGGCAGGCCUAACACAUGCAAGUCGAACGGUAGCGCAGAGAGCUUGCUCUCGGGUGACGAGUGGCGGACGGGUGAGUAACGUCUGGGAAACUGCCCGAUGGAGGGGGAUAACUACUGGAAACGGUAGCUAAUACCGCAUAACGUCGCAAGACCAAAGUGGGGGACCUUCGGGCCUCACACCAUCGGAUGUGCCCAGAUGGGAUUAGCUAGUAGGUGGGGUAAUGGCUCACCUAGGCGACGAUCCCUAGCUGGUCUGAGAGGAUGACCAGCCACACUGGAACGGAGACACGGUCCAGCAUCCUACGGGAGGCAGCAGUGGGGAAUAUUGCACAAUGGGCGCAAGCCUGAUGCAGCCAUGCCGCGUGUAUGAAGAAGGCCUUCGGGUUGUAAAGUACUUUCAGCGGGGAGGAAGGCGGUGAAGUUAAUAGCUUCACCGAUUGACGUUACCCGCAGAAGAAGCACCGGCUAACUCCGUGCCAGCCGCCGCCGUAA